GAGGGUGUAGCUCCAAUGGUAGAGUGUGUGCUUAGCAUGCAUAAUGUCCUGGCUUCAAUCCCCAGUACCUACA
This 73-nucleotide transfer RNA is filed under the name Camelus bactrianus (Bactrian camel). It matches the Rfam family "tRNA". From Rfam's summary of the family: Transfer RNA (tRNA) molecules are approximately 80 nucleotides in length. Their secondary structure includes four short double-helical elements and three loops (D, anti-codon, and T loops). The record is from Rfam by way of RNAcentral. RNAcentral also lists the same sequence under 2 other names. Lineage: Eukaryota; Metazoa; Chordata; Mammalia; Artiodactyla; Camelidae.